Long non-coding RNA from Equus caballus (horse), 4992 nucleotides. The record is from Ensembl. Lineage: Eukaryota; Metazoa; Chordata; Mammalia; Perissodactyla; Equidae.
GUUUCCCAAGAAAUUGUGGUGAUUCCAUGUUUUAUUAUACUACAUUGGCUUAUUUUUAUUUUAAUAAAAAAUUUAUAUGCAAAAGAAAAGCAUAUUUUUUCCUCUCUCUUAAUCCAUAAACCUCAUUGACAUUUAAGAUUAACUUAAUUUCUAAUAAUAUAAACAGGAAGUGACUUUUUCUUAAAGUUACUAAAUAAAUAAAGCCAACCAUAUUUUCAUUGAAAUAAAAUUUGACAAAACAGUUUUUAAGUUCUGGAGAAGAACUCAUUCUCUAAAUGAGUAAUUAAAACCUGCUUAAUCUAAUAAAGUAGAUUCUCUAUGGACCUCCUAUAAUAGACAAAAUUUUGUUAAUCUGAGUUGAGCGAUAAUAUGAAUUUAGAGGAAAUAAACUGCAUUUUGGGGGAAAAAACAAACACGUUAUAUGUAAGAACUCUCAUUUAUCCACACUGGCUCCCCAGUGGACCCCAAGAACUGUAUUUACAAAAAAGCCUGCACAGCAUUUGAUAGGUAACUGUCUUCUCCAGCUGGGAAGUGGAAAACCAAACUCCCUCCAGUGAUGGCUAGGGAUGUUUUCCUUUGGGAAGACAGAGUUUGUUUUUCUGCUCCUUCUUUCGCCCAGGUCAAACUGAUCUUGUUGAUCGGACACUUCCUCUCUUGUCCAACAAUUUCCCACUGAAAAGUGAGACCAUUCUGGUCAACUAGCUUUUCCCGUGCCAGCAAAGGGAGCUCCGUGCAGACUGGAGGAUGGCAUUGUCUGAUCAUCCUCCCAAGGGAGAGGAUACAGUGCAAAAUUCUUCCUCCAGGGCCUCCCAGAAGUGUGGCUGACACAAGAGUGGAUCAUAAUCUGGGUUAUGGCACCUUUGAGCAUAAACAUGCUACUUAGAAUGUCACAUAUAUGUGUUAUAUAUGUAUGUAUCUGCAAAGAUACAACCGUGUAUAUAUCUCUGUAUUGUCAAGAAAGAAGCCUUGAUGAGGCCAACAAAGGUUUCCUUAGACCCUAGAGCUCUCUAAAGAACUUGCUUUAAUUAAUAGAUCAGAAUAGUUUGUAUUCAACAUAUCAAAUAAGUAGAUGAUUGAUAGAUAAAUAGAUAGGUUGAUUUAGAAGUCAGAUAGACCUGUUUAUACCAAUUACUGGCUGAAGGAGCCUUGAUAAGGUAUUAAGUUUUCCUAAACCUAAAUUUACUUGUCUGUAAAAUGGGUUCAAUUACCUCUCCAGAUGGUUUCAAGGCAUAAAUGAAACAGUGUCUGUAAAGUGCUUAUUAAAGUGACUUACAUAAUACAAGCCUCAAUACAGAGAAAACAUUACCAGCAUCAUUCUUGUUGAGGAACAGUUAAUUUGGGGGCAUCUUUGUGAGGUGGGGAUUUCAGAACGGUAAGGAGACAGACUGCAUUAAUGGAAAGCCUCCCACACACAUCCGUGUAAAUGGAUACUUCCCGCAACAAUGCACAGCUUAAGGGGGGCCAGUCACCUGGUGGUCAAAUGUUUCCCAAGUCGCUGAGGGUGAGACAGUGCUGCUGGGGAACCCAGCUUGAGUUCCUGGUUCAAGAAUCACACCUGUGAAAUUCGAUCCAGGUGGGAAAUUCUUCGAGUUGACUCUGCUGAAGCCAUGGUUCAUUAUCAAGUUAUUUCUCUGGGUCACUCUGAGGUCAUCUCCUUAAUUAACGUAUCAGCCAAGAGAUGCCACAAAAUCCAAGCUGCUCAGCCUUUGCCUCCAAGUCCAUCACAGCCCCUCUCCUUCACUGAAAACUUUUUUGGUGCCAGGCACCAGGCAAAGAGCCUCUGUACAUCACUUUAUUUAAUCUUCUAACAACCCUCUCGGGGAGCGGCUACAACAAUCACCAUUUAAAGAUGAAGAAUCUAGGGGCCUGCCCGGUGGCGCAGUGGUUAGUGCGCACGUUCCACAUCAGCGGGCUGGGGCUCGCCAGUUCGGAUCCUGGGUGCGGACGUGGCACCACUUGGCACGCCAUGCUGUGGCAGGCAUCCCACAUAUAAAGUAGAGGAAGAUGGGCAUAGACAUUAGCUCAGGGCCAGUCUUCCUCAGCAAAAAGAGGAGGAUUGGCAGCAGUUAGCUCAGGACUAAUCUUUCUAAAAAAAAACAAAAAAAGAUGAAGACUCUCAGGCUUGCAAGCUCCAGUCAUUUGCCCAGGAUCACAGCUAGCAAACGGUGGAGCCGAAAUUGCAGGAAACCGUGGAGAUCUUUCCAUCAGGCUAUGCUCCCCAGAAAACCAUUAAUCCCACUUUUCUCUCCUCUGUCACGUGUUUAUAUUGCAUCUGAGAACAAAAGGAGGUUUAAAAUCCUCAUUUUUCUCACCUGCUAAAGAGCAACACAGCCUGUUGUUACUAAUCAAGCCUUACCUUGCUCCAGGCUCUCCAGACUAUUCCGCCUAUCCUCAUAUGGCAUCUCUGAUCACCCCAAUCCGUGCUAGGGAUUCCUUCCAGCCUUUCAAAAAACAACUGGUAACAAUUUAGCAAUUAGUUUAAAUCUCUUUAGUUGGGCUAAGAUGCCCCUUUUCAGGGGCACCUGGUUGGAGCAAGAGUGCCACCUGGUGGAACAUUUGGGUCACUGCCAACACUUGUUCCUUGGUCAAAGGUGGCAAAGCCGGCUUUGAACAGAAAUGGACAAGGAGCAGUGUUCACGCCGCCUGGGACCGUGCCCAGAAAUAACUCAGCAGCGUCCAGGCACGAACUUACUGAAACUCAAAGUCUUGCUGAAACACAAGUUUGGGACGUUAAGGGUCCAAGACCACUCGGCCACAACAAGCCUGGGCGAGGACGCUUGUCAACACCACGUGCCCUCACCUAACCUUGGUCAGGGCAAGCUGAAGGCCUGCCUGGGGAUGUUCCUGUCUCAAGAAUGACCGAGCUGAAUGCCCACAUCAGGCCCGGUCACCGUAAAGCACUGUGUCUACACUGGGUCAUUCCAGUUCUCUGACCCACAGCCUGAAGCUAGGUGGGGAGUUCUUUACCUGGAGUGUAGAAGUGACUUUGGAAGGGGGGAUGGUUCUGGAAACUUCUCAAAUUUUAUGCAAAACUACAUGCAUUUUUCUGGGGAGAUGGUUUAUCACUUUCCUUCCACUCCCCAAAGAUCCCUGACCGGUAAAGGGUAAGAAUCACAACGGUUUUCAUGAAGGCCCUCAGGGUUUAUCACGGGUCUAUGCAAGGAAUAGCAACAAGCAACAUCUUCCUAUGCCUGGCCUGGUAAAACAAAUAUCAAUGGCCUUAUCAGUGGUAUAUAAACAGUGUGGGGCGAUCCUGAUAAAAGGCCCAAGCAUUUUUCAGAGUUCAGAGGAAGGAAAAAAUCCUCUCUUGAUAAAGUGGAAUCUCCGCUGGAUGUUGAGAACUGGAGAGUCCACGUUGCCUUCCCUGCCUUUUGUUCCCCGCUUAAAAUCUCUUUCAGCCUUGCUAUUUUCAAGCAAAGUUCUUUUGCAAGCUCCAGACUUUCCUCUAGAAUAUCCUUCUGCCCUUUUGGCAUCCUCCACUCAUCCUUCAAGAUCAGUUUUCUCAACAUUUCCGGGCAGGGCUAUGUACCUCACAUAGUCCUGUUAUCACAUAGAUGACUUUUCUAGAAUUAUUUGCAUAUUUAUCUACAAGACUGUGAUCCCAUCAAGGCAGGAACCCAAUUGUAUUAGUUUCCAUAUCCCCAGCACCUAGCACAGAGUAUAAAAAAAAAAAAAGGUUAGAUGGAUGAAUAAAGAAACAGAUCCAUGAAUAAAUGAACAAUCCCCCUGACCACCUUCAUUUCCUAGAUGGGGAAAGUGGCCCUCUGAUAGACACCAGCAUGCCAAUGAGACUGAGCCAGGCAGGGCGUCCCCAGGAGCCACACCCAGGCCAGCUGCAGGCCACUCGGCAGCUGUGUGGGUCUGAGAUCCUGCCGCACCCUCCAGCCUCUUGGCAGUUCUUGCUCCAGCAUGCCACCAUGUCUCACUUUCUCUUCUAUUUUGCUCCUUGGUUCAGAGCACACAGUAGGGAGACACGAACCAGGGGAAUUCAGAGGUAAGAAAUGGUGACUGGCAGAUGCCAGCUGUCCCCCUGGCAGGGUCUGGGAAACCUGAAUCUUCUCUGUGACUCUGUCCUUACCACAGUGAGGACCAAAAUGAGAAACUCUGACUCUUUCAAACUUACUUCACCAGCAGGAUCCUGAGAGCUGAAUUUCAGGCCCAGAAAUGCAUUGUCCAUGAACCUAAACAGCGAAUUUUACUUUGCUUCCUCCCACCGGAAUUAGAUUCACGAGAAGUCUGAUAAAAUCUCCAAACGGCUGCUCCAAGCUCUGCUUGUCCCAGACGCAUGGCAGAAACUGGAAAGAGCUGGGAGGAGGGAAGCCUCGCCAGCUGGUUCUGGUCCUGCCCUGAAGUGGGGGAAAACGCCUCUGAGGGGACCCGUAGGCCCAAACACAGCUGUGGUCAUUACUGAAUCAUUAGACUUGCCACAAACGAGAGAAAAGUUUCAAACAGCGAAGAGGACUUCUCCGUGGUCUGCUGAAUGGGGUUUCUCUUUGUGUUUUGGUUCCUUCUGGUGGCGUGGCCUGGCCUGCAGGGUUUCCUCAAAGCCGCAGGAGCCCCUCAGCCCCUCAUGUUGCCUCUCAGGAGCUCUCCUCAGUGGGGCAAAGGACUUCUUUUUUUUUUUUUAAGGUAGGUAAGUCUGGAAAAGACUCAGAGUUUUGAGUCAUUGUUUUGUGCACAGUGAUUUGACCUUCUCUGAUCCACUUCUCAGAAUUACAGGUCCCUUUUCUGAAGAACACAAAAGCCUACAGAGGAAAACAGGAAUAUUCCAAAUUUAUAACUGGAAAAAGGGAAACCCCGUCACGCAAAUGUUCGCCCGGUUCAGUCGCCCCACCUCUUCCAGAUGUUGGUAGAAAUGGCCCACUUACCUCUCAUCCCACAGUUUUCUGUCCUAAGUCUUAUCCGUCACUCUAUACCCUAGAUCUUUCUGUUCCCUUUCGUACCUACUAAGUGUGUAAUAAAUAUUAAUUGACAGACUAAAGGCAAAUUAAA